This 463-nucleotide ribosomal RNA is filed under the name Brueelia sp. NsBruCinRei. RNAcentral's name for it is "SSU rRNA". It matches the Rfam family "Eukaryotic small subunit ribosomal RNA", at positions 116 to 554 of the family's 1831-position model. Lineage: Eukaryota; Metazoa; Arthropoda; Insecta; Psocodea; Philopteridae. RNAcentral also lists the same sequence under 2 other names. The record is from RNAcentral.
UUCCUUAGAUGGUACGUACAGUUACUUGGAUAACUGUGGCAAUUCUAGAGCUAAUACAUGCAAACCGAGUUCCGACCGCUUAGCAGGCGGAAGGAAUGCUUUUAUUAGAUCAAAACCAAUCGGACUCCUCCGCGGGUCCGUCACGCCUUGGUGACUCUGAAUAACUUCGGGCUGAUCGCACGGUCCCGAACCGGCGACGCAUCUUUCAAAUGUCUGACUUAUCAACUUUCGAUGGUAGGUUCUGCGCCUACCAUGGUCGUAACGGGUAACGGGGAAUUAGGGUUCGAUUCCGGAGAGGGAGCCUGAGAAACGGCUACCACAUCCAAGGAAGGCAGCAGGCGCGCAAAUUACCCACUCCCGGCACGGGGAGGUAGUGACGAAAAAUAACGAUGCAGAACUCUUUCCGAGGCUCUGCAAUCGGAAUGAGCACACUCUAAAUCAUUUAACGAGUAUCCAUUGGAGG